UAGCUAAAUGCGGAAGAGAUAAGUGCUGAAAGCAUCUAAGCACGAAACUUGCCCCGAGAUGAGUUCUCCCUGAGACUUUAAGUCUCCUGAAGGAACGUUGAAGACGACGACGUUGAUAGGUCGGGUGUGUAAGCGCAGCGAUGCGUUGAGCUAACCGAUACUAAUGAACCGUGAGGCUUAACCUU
Molecule: ribosomal RNA, 185 nt
Filed under: Enterobacter hormaechei
Lineage: Bacteria; Pseudomonadati; Pseudomonadota; Gammaproteobacteria; Enterobacterales; Enterobacteriaceae
Also listed under: 1 other name
Description: partial 23S ribosomal RNA
Rfam family: Bacterial large subunit ribosomal RNA
Source: RNAcentral